UACGGAGGGGGUUAGCGUUGUUCGGAAUUACUGGGCGUAAAGCGCGCGUAGGCGGAUCAAUAAGUCAGAGGUGAAAUCCCGGGGCUCAACCCCGGAACUGCCUUUGAUGCUGUUGGUCUUGAGUUCGAGAGAGGUGAGUGGAAUUCCGAGUGUAGAGGUGAAAUUCGUAGAUAUUCGGAGGAACACCAGUGGCGAAGGCGGCUCACUGGCUCGAUACUGACGCUGAGGUGCGAAAGUGUGGGGAGCGAACAGG
Molecule: ribosomal RNA, 253 nt
Filed under: uncultured bacterium
Lineage: Bacteria
Description: partial 16S ribosomal RNA
Rfam family: Bacterial small subunit ribosomal RNA
Source: RNAcentral